Long non-coding RNA from Helianthus annuus (common sunflower), 686 nucleotides. RefSeq lists it as uncharacterized. NCBI's taxonomy places the organism in Eukaryota, Viridiplantae, Streptophyta, Magnoliopsida, Asterales, Asteraceae. The record is from RefSeq and is a predicted model, not a curated record. The transcript has 2 exons.
AAUUGACACUCGAACAAUAUUCCAAGGACUGUACACAUACAUAACUACACUUAAUCAAAAUGCCCAAAACCCUCAAAAUCAAACACAAAUCGAAUCAAAACCCUAACCCUAACCCUAGAACCGAUCGAUCAUGGCGGCGAGGAAAUCAACCGGAGAUGGAGUUCUCGCUAGGGUUUCAUCAACAAUAUCCGAAUCACCGAUCGUUUACAGAGGCAAAAGAGUCGCAUCUGACGCCGGAUUUGUGGCCAAAAAGCUGUUGAAGAGCACCGGCAAGGCGGCGUGGAUCGCCGGAACGACGUUUUUGAUCCUUGUGGUGCCGUUGAUCAUUGAGAUGGACCGUGAGGCUCAGUAUAACGAGCUCGAGCUUCAACAGGCGAGUUUGCUCGGUACUCCUGCUGUUGCUGCUCCGCAGAAGUGAUUUGUCGAAAGCUAGGGUUUCAGGUAAUUUACCUGAUGGAUCAAAAUGUCAGCAGAAACAAUCAAACAACAAACGUGAGUUUAUUCACCAUUGAAAAGUUCUAGGACCAACUGGUAGAAAGUUUUUUUGUUUAUCUAUUUUGAGAUAUUUUCUUGAACUUAAGACAAUGAGUGUGCUUCAUGAUAAUAUGAUAUGCUUGAGAUUUUCGACAAACAUAAAGUGGGUUAUAUUUUUCUCAACAUGCUUGCAUUUCGAGGUUGUUUUUGUA